This is a long non-coding RNA of Chelonia mydas (Green sea turtle), 96 nucleotides long. RefSeq lists it as uncharacterized. Lineage: Eukaryota; Metazoa; Chordata; Testudines; Cheloniidae. The transcript is spliced from 3 exons. The record is from RefSeq and is a predicted model, not a curated record.
AUGUCCACUGACGGUAGGACAAGCAGUAAUGAGCUUCAUCUGCAACAAGAGAUUUAGGUUAAAUAUUAGGAAAAACUUUCUAACAUCAGUGUAAUU